Molecule: unclassified non-coding RNA, 617 nt
Filed under: Hevea brasiliensis (rubber tree)
Lineage: Eukaryota; Viridiplantae; Streptophyta; Magnoliopsida; Malpighiales; Euphorbiaceae
Source: RNAcentral
CAAAACCCCACCAGCCCUUCAUUGCCUCCUCUCCUUCUCCGGCAAAUCAGGCCGCCGCCGCUCAGUUUCAAACACUCAAAUCCAGGGAUGGAUCGGUUGCCCUAAAGCCCCAACAGGGUCCCAACCAUUCGGAGCCCUUAUCCGCGGAAUUGGCCUCCGUUAUCUGUCCGUCGCUGGCCUUCGCCAACACAAUGUUCUUCAGAUCGGCAUAUAAUGUGCAGGUGAUUGUGGAUGAUAAUGAACCGGAGGAGCGGCUUCUGAACAGAUUCCGGCGAGAGGUUAUGAGGGCCGGCGUGAUUCAGGAGUGUAAGAGACGGAGAUUCUUUGAGAACACUCAAGAUGUUAGGAAGCGCAAGACUCGCGAGGCUGCUAAACGCAACCGCCGGAGGCGCCCACAGGCAAGAUUUACACCACAGAACAAGCAGGAUGUGCCUGCAACCAAGCAGGAAGCUGAUGAUGACAACUGGGAUUUACCUGAAGAAGAAGACAUUCCUUAUUAACCUAAUCCAAAAGUUCACCCUCACCAAAAUGUUUAAUGUUUUCUGGUCAUCUUUUGAUUUUGGGAAGCUGUUAGUACUCUGUAAUGUAAGUUGUUUUCCAUGUAAUAUCUUCUUUAG